GACGAACGCUGGCGGCGUGCUUAACACAUGCAAGUCGAACGGAAAGGCCCUGCUUUUGUGGGGUGCUCGAGUGGCGAACGGGUGAGUAACACGUGAGUAACCUGCCCUUGACUUUGGGAUAACUUCAGGAAACUGGGGCUAAUACCGGAUAGGAGCUCCUGCUGCAUGGUGGGGGUUGGAAAGUUUCGGCGGUUGGGGAUGGACUCGCGGCUUAUCAGCUUGUUGGUGGGGUAGUGGCUUACCAAGGCUUUGACGGGUAGCCGGCCUGAGCGGGUGACCGGCCACAUGGGGACUGAGAUACGGCCCAGACUCCUACGGGAGGCAGCAGUGGGGAAUAUGGCACAAUGGGCGGAAGCCUGAUGCAGCAACGCCCCGUGCGGGAUGACGGCCUUCGGGUUGUAAACCGCUUUCGCCUGUGACGAAGCGUGAGUGACGGUAAUGGGUAAAGAAGCACCGGCUAACUACGUG
Molecule: ribosomal RNA, 468 nt
Filed under: uncultured bacterium
Lineage: Bacteria
Description: partial 16S ribosomal RNA
Rfam family: Bacterial small subunit ribosomal RNA
Source: RNAcentral